GAUGAACGCUGGCGGCGUGCUUAACACAUGCAAGUCGAACGGAAAGGCUCCUGCUUGCAGGGGUACUCGAGUGGCGAACGGGUGAGUAACACGUGGGUGAUCUGCCCUGCACUUCGGGAUAAGCCUGGGAAACUGGGUCUAAUACCGGAUAGGACGAUGGUUUGGAUGCGAUUGUGGAAAGUUUUUCGGUGUGGGAUGAGCUCGCGGCCUAUCAGCUUGUUGGGGGGGUAAUGGCCUACCAAGGCGUCGACGGGUAGCCGGCCUGAGAGGGUGUACGGCCACAUUGGGACUGAGAUACGGCCCAGACUCCUACGGGAGGCAGCAGUGGGGAAUAUUGCACAAUGGGCGCAAGCCUGAUGCAGCGACGCCGCGUGGGGGAUGACGGCCUUCGGGUUGUAAACUCCUUUCGCUAGGGACGAAGCGCAAGUGACGGUACCUGGAGAAGAAGCACCGGCUAACUACGUG
Molecule: ribosomal RNA, 465 nt
Filed under: uncultured bacterium
Lineage: Bacteria
Description: partial 16S ribosomal RNA
Rfam family: Bacterial small subunit ribosomal RNA
Source: RNAcentral